GGUUGAUCCUGCCAGUAGUCAUAUGCUUGUCUCAAAGAUUAAGCCAUGCAUGUCUAAGCACAUGCCUUAAUACGGUGAAGCCGCGAAUAGCUCAUUACAACAGCCACCGUUUACUAGAAUAUAGUUAUCCUACUUGGAUAACUGUGGCAAUUCUAGAGCUAAUACAUGCAAAAAAGCUCCGCCCGCAAGGAACGAGCGCAUUUAUUAGAAUAAAAACCAAUCGGGUUUCGGCCCGUAAUUUGGUGAAUCUGAAUAACUUUGCCAAUCGCACAGUCCUAGUACUGGCGAUGUAUCUUUCAAGUGUCUGCCUUAUCAACUUUCGAUGGUAGGUUAUACGCCUACCAUGGUAGUAACGGGUAACGGAGAAUAAGGGUUCGACUCCGGAGAGGGAGCCUGAGAAACGGCUACCACAUCCAAGGAAGGCAGCAGGCGCGCAAAUUACCCACUUCCAGAACGGAGAGGUAGUGACGAAAAAUAACGAGACAGUCCUCUUCGAGGUCUGUCAUCGGAAUGGGUACAAUUUAAAUCCUUUAACGAGGAUCUAUUGGAGGGCAAGUCUGGU
RNAcentral lists this ribosomal RNA (562 nucleotides) under uncultured eukaryote. Its description in RNAcentral is "SSU rRNA". It matches the Rfam family "Eukaryotic small subunit ribosomal RNA", at positions 6 to 565 of the family's 1831-position model. The record is from RNAcentral.